This 497-nucleotide ribosomal RNA is filed under the name uncultured bacterium. Its description in RNAcentral is "partial 16S ribosomal RNA". It matches the Rfam family "Bacterial small subunit ribosomal RNA", at positions 28 to 507 of the family's 1533-position model. The record is from RNAcentral.
GACGAACGCUGGCGGCGUGCCUAAUACAUGCAAGUAGAACGCUGAAGAGAGGAGCUUACUCUUCUUGGAUGAGUUGCGAACGGGUGAGUAACGCGUAGGUAACCUGCCUUGUAGCGGGGGAUAACUAUUGGAAACGAUAGCUAAUACCGCAUAACAAUGGAUGACACAUGUCAUUUAUUUGAAAGGGGCAAUUGCUCCACUACAAGAUGGACCUGCGUUGUAUUAGCUAGUAGGUGAGGUAAUGGCUCACCUAGGCGACGAUACAUAGCCGACCUGAGAGGGUGAUAGGCCACACUGGGACUGAGACACGGCCCAGACUCCUACGGGAGGCAGCAGUAGGGAAUCUUCGGCAAUGGGGGCAACCCUGAACGAGCAACGCCGCGUGAGUGAAGAAGGUUUUCGGAUCGUAAAGCUCUGUUGUAAGUCAAGAACGGGUGUGAGAGUGGAAAGUUCACACUGUGACGGUAGCUUACCAGAAAGGGACGGCUAACUACGUG